This 253-nucleotide ribosomal RNA is filed under the name uncultured bacterium. RNAcentral describes it as "partial 16S ribosomal RNA". It matches the Rfam family "Bacterial small subunit ribosomal RNA", at positions 524 to 776 of the family's 1533-position model. The record is from RNAcentral.
GACGUAGGGCGCGAGCGUUGUCCGGAUUUAUUGGGCGUAAAGAGCUCGUAGGCGGUUCGUCGCGUCGGCUGUGAAAUCCCGAGGCUCAACCUCGGGCCUGCAGUCGAUACGGGCGGACUGGAGUUCGGCAGGGGAGACUGGAAUUCCUGGUGUAGCGGUGAAAUGCGCAGAUAUCAGGAGGAACACCGGUGGCGAAGGCGGGUCUCUGGGCCGAUACUGACGCUGAGGAGCGAAAGCGUGGGGAGCGAACAGG